UGUUCCCUAUGGGGGGCAGCAGUGAGGAAUAUUGGUCAAUGGGCGGGAGCCUGAACCAGCCACGUCGCGUGAAGGAAGAAGGUACUUAGUAUUGUAAACUUCUUUUGUCGGGGAACAAAGGCGGAGACGCGUCUCCGGAUGAGUGUACCCGAAGAAAAAGCAUCGGCUAACUCCGUGCCAGCAGCCGCGGUAAUACGGAGGAUGCGAGCGCUAUCCGGAUUUAUUGGGUUUAAAGGGUGCGCAGGCGGGA
RNAcentral lists this ribosomal RNA (250 nucleotides) under uncultured bacterium. RNAcentral's name for it is "partial 16S ribosomal RNA". It matches the Rfam family "Bacterial small subunit ribosomal RNA", at positions 333 to 580 of the family's 1533-position model. The record is from RNAcentral.